Long non-coding RNA from Heterocephalus glaber (naked mole-rat), 1594 nucleotides. The record is from Ensembl. NCBI's taxonomy places the organism in Eukaryota, Metazoa, Chordata, Mammalia, Rodentia, Bathyergidae.
CGCGCUGACCCCAUGAGGUAGCAGCCGCUGUCCCCGGCAGGGCCUCCGGCCCGAUGCGGCUAUCUGGCCCUGACAGCUUUCUUGGGUGUUUCCUCGCGCGCCACCGGUCAUCGAUCCAGACACGAACGCGCGGAGCUCCUGCCGCGAGUCUGGCUGCGCCGGAAGAGGCCGGCCCCGGGAGACGUUGGAUCGGAGAGGCGGGGACUGGGACACGUAGGCGAGCAAACAACUGACGUUUUCCGAGACAAAGGAGAAAAGCAAAGGCUCUCAGUCAGCAGCAGAGUGGCGCAGCGGAAGCGUGCUGGGCCCAUAACCCAGAGGUCGAUGGAUCGAAACCAUCCUCUGCUAGUUUGUGUUUUGAGAACUGAAGUUUUAUCUGGAAUCUCUGUGGCUGGACUUCACUUUUAGAAACGUUCUUGGCAUUUUUCUUUUUCCCCUUCUUGUAAGUCCCUCUUCACCCACUUCAGAGAGGCCAGUUUCACUGGGAAGAGAAGAUGACAACCCCACCUUACAUCUAACAGACCAGCCCACCCUACUGAGUAGAAUACAUCCGGACGCGAAGGGCGCCUCGUAGUUUUCUUCCGCUCUGGAGGCUUUUGCUCGAGACUUGGCUACCAGCAGCGGAUCUCUUCCAUCUGUUGCAGUGGGGCCUCCCGCUACUCUCUCCCGUGUUGCUUCCUCUUCCAGUAUUACUGAAUUCACUUCCGGUUCCCGGCCACGAAUUCUGGGGCGAAUUCUCCUCUACCGCACGCUGGCUAUCGUGGCUGGAGACCCUUUCAACCUCUUCUCUCCACACUGCGAGCCCGAUGAGAAAAACAUGAAGCCAGUGGUGGAGAACAUGGGAAUACUUGAAUGCUUUGUGCAUCCGAAUUCCACGGAGAAACUCAGAAAGAAAAUGGAAGUCUAACAGACAUAUGUACAAAGAAGUUAAGAGAACAUUACUAAUCAGAAUACUUUUUGUCAGGCAGGCCUUCAACUCACUAUGUAGCACAGGCUGCCCUCCAACUCACGUGUGAUCCUCCUGCCUCAGCCGCAGAAGUGCUCAACCUCAACCUUACAAGCUUGUGCCACCACACCUGGCUUUGUCUUUAACUUUUGAAGCCAUGUGAAUGUUCUACAUUUUCAAAAGUUAGUAUUCAAUUGACAAAAAACUACUGAAAGCAACCACGGCAAAGGAACUCAGUUCUACUCCACACCUUCAACACAUGAAGAGGAAGCACACGAUCCGUGCUCAGAGUAUAGCACAGUUUGCCUCAUGCUGGGUCGAGGGGUGUGGGUGGGGCUGGAGAACUGUAAACAAAUGCCGACUUCUUUUUAGUGGAUGUUUUUCGGUAAUAGAUGGGCAAAGCAAUCCUGAAACUAUGGCAGGGGCAAUCUAGGGCUGCCAGAGACCCCUGUAGUCAGGUUCCAGUCCCCACCUGCCCAGUGUGUGAUGCAGGCCUGAGAAAAAGAAUACACUGAGACAGAACUAGGAGAGAGAGCGGGCGCCAGGACGACCGGGUGCCGUGCGACCGACAAAGGCCCUGGCCCGUCCCAGGCACUGACUUUUACUGGUAAUCAAAUGGGGUAAAGGUGGCUGUGGUUUCUAUGGGAA